CCUGGCUCAGAUUGAACGCUGGCGGCAUGCCUUACACAUGCAAGUCGAGCGGCAGCGCGGGGGCAACCCUGGCGGCGAGCGGCGAACGGGUGAGUAAUACAUCGGAACGUGUCCAGUAGUGGGGGAUAGCUCGGCGAAAGCCGGAUUAAUACCGCAUACGAUCCACGGAUGAAAGCGGGGGACCGCAAGGCCUCGCGCUAUUGGAGCGGCCGAUGUCGGAUUAGCUAGUUGGCGGGGUAACGGCCCACCAAGGCGACGAUCCGUAGCUGGUCUGAGAGGACGACCAGCCACACUGGAACUGAGACACGGUCCAGACUCCUACGGGAGGCAGCAGUGGGGAAUUUUGGACAAUGGGCGCAAGCCUGAUCCAGCCAUGCCGCGUGAGUGAAGAAGGCCUUCGGGUUGUAAAGCUCUUUCGGCGGGGACGAAACGGUCCGUGAGAACACCACGGACUAAUGACGGUACUCGCAGAAGAAGCACCGGCUAACUACGUGCCAGCAGCCGCGGUAAUACGUAGGGUGCAGGCGUUAAUCGGAAUUACUGGGCGUAAAGCGUGCGCAGGCGGCUCCUUAAGUCAGAUGUGAAAUCCCCGGGCUUAACCUGGGAACUGCGUUUGAU
Molecule: ribosomal RNA, 618 nt
Filed under: uncultured soil bacterium
Lineage: Bacteria
Description: bacterial SSU rRNA
Rfam family: Bacterial small subunit ribosomal RNA
Source: RNAcentral